UUUUCCAAGAGUAAAGGACCUCAACAGUGUGCUUUGGGGAUGAGCUUUUCUACCUGAGGGAAGUGACAGGAUGCUUCUGCUUCCCAUGAGUAUGCUGCUGGGAAAGGAGCCCCUCCACUUUGCGGUUGCUCUGUGAGUACCUGUAGGCAUAGGAAGUCAAAAAAUGUGAAUUGAAGAAUUCUUGGUUGCCUGUCCCCCAUCUUUACCUCAGCCUUUAAGAUUCUGCUAACCUUUGCACUAUUUUUGCAACACUUUUACUAGUCUACAGCAGGAUGUGUAAUGGCUUCCAUUGUUGUGGAGAUUGAACUCAGACUAUCAAGUAUUCUCAGCAGUACUCAGUCCUGGAAAACUCAAUGCAGUCCUUGAUCAUGAAGAGAUAAAGAAGAGUGGUUUGAAAGACAAGGACACUAGCAGAGGAACUCUUGCUGCUAGGGCGAUGAAGCAGUAGCAGCUCUUCCAAGCCUGCCCUCCUUCUCUGCCAGGAGUUACCUGCACACAGCAAGGACUGCUGAAGUGAACUUGCAUGCGUUA
Molecule: long non-coding RNA, 531 nt
Filed under: Cairina moschata (Muscovy duck)
Lineage: Eukaryota; Metazoa; Chordata; Aves; Anseriformes; Anatidae
Description: domestica (muscovy Duck (domestic type)) lncRNA (ENSCMMG00000007832.1)
Source: RNAcentral